Small nucleolar RNA from Nannospalax galili (Upper Galilee mountains blind mole rat), 66 nucleotides. RefSeq annotates it as small nucleolar RNA SNORD58. Lineage: Eukaryota; Metazoa; Chordata; Mammalia; Rodentia; Spalacidae. The record is from RefSeq and is a predicted model, not a curated record. The transcript has a single exon.
CUGCUAUGCCGCCAUUUCUUGGGACACCUUUGGAUUCACCGUGAAAACGAUGAUUCUCUGAGCAGC